GAUGAACGCUGGCGGCGUGCCUAAUACAUGCAAGUCGAGCGAACAGACGAGGAGCUUGCUCCUCUGACGUUAGCGGCGGACGGGUGAGUAACACGUGGAUAACCUACCUAUAAGACUGGGAUAACUUCGGGAAACCGGAGCUAAUACCGGAUAAUAUAUUGAACCGCAUGGUUCAAUAGUGAAAGACGGUUUUGCUGUCACUUAUAGAUGGAUCCGCGCCGCAUUAGCUAGUUGGUAAGGUAACGGCUUACCAAGGCAACGAUGCGUAGCCGACCUGAGAGGGUGAUCGGCCACACUGGAACUGAGACACGGCCCAGACUCCUACGGGAGGCAGCAGUAGGGAAUCUUCCGCAAUGGGCGAAAGCCUGACGGAGUAACGCCGCGUGAGUGAUGAAGGUCUUCGGAUCGUAAAACUCUGUUAUUAGGGAAGAACAAAUGUGUAAGUAACUAUGCACGUCUUGACGGUACCUAAUCAGAAAGCCACGGCUAACUACGUG
Molecule: ribosomal RNA, 497 nt
Filed under: uncultured bacterium
Lineage: Bacteria
Description: partial 16S ribosomal RNA
Rfam family: Bacterial small subunit ribosomal RNA
Source: RNAcentral